RNAcentral lists this ribosomal RNA (783 nucleotides) under Actinobacteridae bacterium 15-03PB. RNAcentral's name for it is "bacterial SSU rRNA". It matches the Rfam family "Bacterial small subunit ribosomal RNA", at positions 119 to 914 of the family's 1533-position model. The record is from RNAcentral. Lineage: Bacteria; Bacillati; Actinomycetota; Actinomycetes.
GAGUAACCUGCCCUUGACUCUGGGAUAAGCACUGGAAACGGUGUCUAAUACCGGAUACGAACUUCAGCCGCAUGGCUAGGAGUUGGAAAGAAUUUCGGUCAAGGAUGGACUCGCGGCCUAUCAGCUAGUUGGUGAGGUAAUGGCCCACCAAGGCGACGACGGGUAGCCGGCCUGAGAGGGUGACCGGCCACACUGGGACUGAGACACGGCCCAGACUCCUACGGGAGGCAGCAGUGGGGAAUAUUGCACAAUGGGCGCAAGCCUGAUGCAGCAACGCCGCGUGAGGGACGACGGCCUUCGGGUUGUAAACCUCUUUUAGUAGGGAAGAAGCGAAAGUGACGGUACCUGCAGAAAAAGCACCGGCUAACUACGUGCCAGCAGCCGCGGUAAUACGUAGGGUGCAAGCGUUAUCCGGAAUUAUUGGGCGUAAAGAGCUCGUAGGCGGUUUGUCGCGUCUGCUGUGAAAACUGGGGGCUCAACCCCCAGCCUGCAGUGGGUACGGGCAGACUAGAGUGCGGUAGGGGAGAUUGGAAUUCCUGGUGUAGCGGUGGAAUGCGCAGAUAUCAGGAGGAACACCAAUGGCGAAGGCAGAUCUCUGGGCCGUAACUGACGCUGAGGAGCGAAAGCAUGGGGAGCGAACAGGAUUAGAUACCCUGGUAGUCCAUGCCGUAAACGUUGGGAACUAGAUGUAGGGUCCAUUCCACGGAUUCUGUGUCGCAGCUAACGCAUUAAGUUCCCCGCCUGGGGAGUACGGCCGCAAGGCUAAAACUCAAAGGAAUUGAC